Non-coding RNA from Brachypodium distachyon (stiff brome), 125 nucleotides. NCBI's taxonomy places the organism in Eukaryota, Viridiplantae, Streptophyta, Magnoliopsida, Poales, Poaceae. The record is from Rfam.
UUUGUAAUCCCUCCGUCCCAUAUUAAGUGUCUCAAAUUUGCUCAAAUAUGGAUGUAUCUAUAUCUAAAAUGUGUUUAGAUACAUGUAAUAUUUUGACACUUAAUGUAGGACGGAGGGAGUAUAUG